RNAcentral lists this ribosomal RNA (425 nucleotides) under Crinocerus sanctus. RNAcentral describes it as "SSU rRNA". It matches the Rfam family "Eukaryotic small subunit ribosomal RNA", at positions 230 to 653 of the family's 1831-position model. Lineage: Eukaryota; Metazoa; Arthropoda; Insecta; Hemiptera; Coreidae. The record is from RNAcentral.
CCGGGCGUCAGCUUGAUGACUCUAGAUAACACCACAGAUCGCACGGUCACAGUACCGGUGACAUAUCCUUCAAAUGUCUGACUUAUCAGCUGUCGAUGGUAGACUCUGUGUCUACCAUGGCGCUCACGGGUGACGGGGAAUCAGGGUUCGAUUCCGGAGAGGGAGCCUGAGAAACGGCUACCACAUCCAAGGAAGGCAGCAGGCACGCAAAUUACCCACUCCCGGCACGGGGAGGUAGUGACAAAAAAUAACGAUACGGGACUCAUCCGAGGCCCCGUAAUCGGAAUGAGAACACCCUAAAUCCUUUAACGAGGAUCUAUUGGAGGGCAAGUCUGGUGCCAGCAGCCGCGGUAAUUCCAGCUCCAAUAGCGUAUAUUAAAGUUGUUGCGGUUAAAAAGCUCGUAGUUGGUUCUGCGUGCCACGCU